CUGGGACCUCUUGAAGAAACCGAGUGAGUCUAACAGGCUGCUGAUCUCGUCCGCCUUCAUUUUCUUCACGGGAACAGUCUGACGUGUCGUGCAGGGAACAAAGAGAAGUACAGACGCACAUGCAUUUGGACACAUGAAUAUCAGACGUGGAUUCUUCUCCUCCGAUGAAUCAUAUUCCAAGUUGUGGCUACACAGGAAGGAACGGAUCAAGGCAAACAACAGGGAGGCCGCAGAAUGGUGAGAGACCCUGGUUGCCUUGGCAGAGGAUCUGUGUUGUCCCGGCAUGGAUGAUGAGGAUGGUUUGCUGCCAGUGACCUUGUUUGCAGCGUUUUUGUCAUGUUGGUGGUGAAGGGACUGAAAUGGCUACCAGAUGUGGUUCCAAUCUGUUCUCGUUGUCAUGGAAACACAGGGACUGGAAUAGGUUUUCUGAGUCCAGGGCUUUUGGCUGACUCAUAGGGCCUGAGUUUUAAAGCCUAGCUGUUUCUAUAGACUUGGCACACUGACGAUGCCCCAGCUCCAAGUCAUGUUUAGAUUGGCAGCCGACAUGUCAUUGAACCCCCUUCCCACACGCCAAACCCUGACUUUUUGACCAAGCUUUGCGUUUUCCUGUAUAGUCACUCCUUUGUGUUAUUUUAUGUUGCCUGAGCCAAAGUGAAUUUAUGUUUCACACGUCAAUCUUCAAUACCAAAUCAAUAAAACCAGCAAAAUAUUACUAAUAGCUAACUGCAGAGGGGAUAUGAAAAGGCCAAGUUCCAUAAUCAUACACAGGCCUUUCCAAUUUAUAUCCAUUCAAAAGCAGCAAGCGCAGAAAUCCAUCACAAGUCGUACACAUGCUCAAUCAACACAGUUUAUCCUGAAAUGCUGCGCAGUGGUGACACGCAAUUCCAAAGUGUGACUUUCCCACAACACGUCAAGGAUGAAAAGCCAGAGAACAUGUGUUGGUAUGCUCAGCUGAGAAUCUUCUCCAUCUGCGAGUUGAGGAUGGGCAGAUGGAGGCAGUUGUGUCAACAUUCCUCUCCAUCCUGGCAAUGAAUCAGACUUCAAGCCAUUGUCGCAUGAAAAAUGGGCCGAUUCAGUGGGGGAAAGUGUUUAGAUUCCAGUAUGGGGUUGGAGAACAAGACUAAGUCUAUAGCCAGCUUAGUGAGACUGUACACAGUGGUUAUCUGAGCUAAAUGCUCAGAUCAGCAUGCUAACAUGCUCACAAUGACAAUAUUAACAGAUGUUUAGCAGGCAUAAUGUUUACUUACCAUCUUAGUUUCUUAGCAUGCUAACAUUUUAAUUAGCACUAAACAAUGAAAUACAGAUGAGGUAGAUGGGCAAAAAAAAAAUGAGUCUCAAAAGUCAAGCUCAUGAUGAUACUAGGAGAAUCCUAAAGUCAUCAAGGUUCAUCCUUUGGAGGCCAUAAAAGGCAAUCCAUCCAACAGUUUUUGUGAUUUUACAUUACAGAUUAAAGUAGUAGACUAGCUGACAUUGCUAUCCCUAGAGCUGUGCUUGGAGGAAAGGCUGUCCAUGCUGAGAGAAUCUUUCAUUGUUUAAAAAAAAAAAUCUUUUUAGAGUGGUUUAUAAAUCACUAGAUCAACAUCAAUUUGUUGUCAACAUCAAAUCAAGGCAAAAUAAGAUAGUCCCUAAUUCCCUGAAGUUUUACAGCCCUGAAAAACACUUUUGAAUUACACACAUGUACAUUGUAGGUAGAACACCAGAAGUGUAGAAUCCAAAACAAAGCUGCUUCGCCUUCUGGUUCCAAUUACCCAUCACAUGACCUAUCCAUCCAUCCUUAUAUCCAUCCAUUCAUCCUCCUUCAUUGCCUUGUGGCCCAGCCCUGCUAUAUCCCUCUUCUCCUCGCCAAAAGAGGACACAUAAGCAGCGCGUGAUUAAGUCCUUAGCACAGAGUUUCCACUGUUUUUCCCCCAUGAAAGGAGCUCUUGUCCCACCGUCCUGAAGGAGCCAAAUGAACAGUUCCCUCAAACUCCCUGACUCUUUGAAGAGCCGCUGUGACCGAACGACUCUGGAGGACUCGGUACUUGGCAGCCCAGUAGCCUAGAGUCACAGGAAAGGGUCAAAUAUCAAUGAGCAUUUGAAUAAAUCUGUUUGAAGAAUACAAUAAACGAUUUAUGUUGUGUAGCA
Long non-coding RNA from Micropterus salmoides (largemouth bass), 2124 nucleotides. RefSeq lists it as uncharacterized. The transcript has 4 exons. Lineage: Eukaryota; Metazoa; Chordata; Actinopteri; Centrarchiformes; Centrarchidae. The record is from RefSeq and is a predicted model, not a curated record.